This is a non-coding RNA of Paramuricea clavata, 298 nucleotides long. NCBI's taxonomy places the organism in Eukaryota, Metazoa, Cnidaria, Anthozoa, Malacalcyonacea, Plexauridae. The record is from the annotation of a GenBank genome assembly.
AUCGUCUUAUUACCUCCGCCAGGAGGUUAUGUAAUCAUCUGGGUUUGUAUGUGUGUGUGUGUGUGUGUGUGUGUGUGUGUGUGUGUGUGUGUGUGUGUGUGUGUGUGUGUGUGUGUGUGUGUAUGUGUGUGUGUGUGUGUGUGUGUGUAUGUGUGUGUGUAUGUGUGUGUGUUUGUCUGUGAGCACGAUAACUCAAGAAAUACCAAACAUAUCCGUACGAAAUUUUUUGAAUGCAUUUCCCAUCGGCUAAGGAAGAACUGAUUAAAAUUUGGUUGAAUUUGGUUAAAAAUUGAACGAG